CAUGCCGUAAACGAUGAGUGCUAAGUGUUAGGGGGUUUCCGCCCCUUAGUGCUGCAGCUAACGCAUUAAGCACUCCGCCUGGGGAGUACGACCGCAAGGUUGAAACUCAAAGGAAUUGACGGGGGCCCGCACAAGCGGUGGAGCAUGUGGUUUAAUUCGAAGCAACGCGAAGAACCUUACCAGGUCUUGACAUCCAACUAACGAGGCAGAGAUGCGUUAGGUGCCCUUCGGGGAAAGUUGAGACAGGUGG
RNAcentral lists this ribosomal RNA (250 nucleotides) under uncultured bacterium. Its description in RNAcentral is "partial 16S ribosomal RNA". It matches the Rfam family "Bacterial small subunit ribosomal RNA", at positions 796 to 1041 of the family's 1533-position model. The record is from RNAcentral.